GUUGUUGCGGUUAAAAGCUCGUAGUUGGAUUUCUGUUGAGGUCGGGCGGUGUACACUUCGUGUAUUAUUUGCUUCGGUCUCGGCAUCCUCUUGGGGAACGUCAGGUCUUCAUUGGACUGGCGAGAUUCAAGACUUUACUGUGAAAAAAUUAGAGUGUUUAAAGCAGGCAUUUUGCUGUGAAUACAUUAGCAUGGAAUAAUAACAUAGGACCCUGGUUCUAUUUUGUUGGUUGGAGGCCAAGGUAAUGAUUAAUAGGGACAGUUGGGGGUAUUCAUAUUUAAUUGUCAGAGGUGAAAUUCUUGGAUUUAUGAAAGAUGAACUCAUGCGUAAGCAUUUACCAAGGAUGUUUUCAUUAAUCAAGAACGAAAGUUAGGGGAUCGAAGAGGAUUAGAUACCCUCGUAGUCUUAACCAUAAACUAUGCCGACUAGGGAUUGGCGGACGUACUUUUUAUGGCUCCGUCAGCACCUUACGAGAAAUCAAAGUCUUUGGGUUCCGGGGGGAGUAUGGU
Molecule: ribosomal RNA, 509 nt
Filed under: uncultured Syndiniales
Lineage: Eukaryota; Dinophyceae; Syndiniales
Description: partial 18S ribosomal RNA
Rfam family: Eukaryotic small subunit ribosomal RNA
Source: RNAcentral